Molecule: non-coding RNA, 7837 nt
Organism: Nomia melanderi (Alkali bee)
Lineage: Eukaryota; Metazoa; Arthropoda; Insecta; Hymenoptera; Halictidae
Source: RefSeq, a predicted model, not a curated record
GUCAACUGUCCGAAUCUGACGGAACGUAUCCUAAUUAAUCCGCUCAUUAAUGAAAUCGUAUUGCUAAAUGAGAAGAAUUUUUUUGGAUGAAAAAUGGCAAACUUUGCAAUAAGUCGCUGCUUAAAUCGAAUCAAUCCUGAGAUAGAAAUGUGUCAGUGAGCCGGUUGGGAAAGGGAGCGAGCUAAAUGUCAACCCGGACAGUAAGAAGCCGGUACAGGAAGAGAGAGAGAGAGAGAGAGAAAGAAAAAAAAAGAAGGAAUGCGCGUCAUCGCGUGAGAAACGCUUCGAGUGAAGCGUGGCAUACGGUGAUAAUUCGCAAUGGUCAACCAAAUCCACUAAUCUUAGCGAAAUAAAAUCGAAAUACACGACAACUUAAUACAUCGUAAAUGGGUACAUCAGGUAGCACAAGAGAAGAUCAAAAGCGGAAGUUGGUUUCGGUUCCCUGAGGGUGGUUCGUGAGCGUGCUUUAGGAACCAAAUGAAACUAAAUCGAUCAACAAGCUCUCAUCUCGACCAUCCGUGGAUCCAGUAUCAUCUUGACAAGUAAAAAUGGAUUGUUUCAACAUUUCUUUUUGUAUAGAUUAACAUGCGAUGAUAGUAUUGGAACAAUAUGAAGCCAUUGUCGUUACAUUAUGUGGCCAGCUUCUGAUUUUAUAACAACGAUAGGAAGUGUUUGUUAACUGAAUGGAAAUCAUGAUGUAAAGACACUGCCAGUUUUACGGUGAUCCUCCACCAAGUUCCAUCUGGCGAACAGAAACUAAUGCAUGGAUGGUCGAUUGAGGUAAAGGCUUGUCAGACUUGUCUGUACGAAUUGCACACACAUUCUGUGACAACAUCGAUGUAUAACUCACGCAAAUACUUAUCACACUAUACCUCUUACGUGUAGAUACAAGUUUCAGAGAGUUCCAGCCUCACCGCGUUUAAGCUUCUGUACAUACGAUAUUACAUAUACAUUUCUUACAUAUAUAAUAUAUAUGUAUAAAUAAUAUAUAUAUAAUAUAUAUAAAAAAAAAUUAAGAUACGAAAGGAGGAAACCACUUCAUCCUGUAUCAUGGUUCUGUCGUCGAUCCCCAUCGACGAGGGAACAAGGGAAUUACAUAAUGACAGAUAAACGGGGGGGAAGCAAUAAGUUAACUCUCUAUUCUCUAACUUCUAAAAGUGAAGUACAACAAGGUGUCGCGAUAAAAUGGUCGAGACGUUUAAAAGAACAAAAAAGGAAAAAAAAAAUGUUCAAGGUUAAACGACGCUCGUGUUAAAAAGUCGGACAACGCGACUACAAAAUGCCUUUUUUUCUCGUUUCAAUCGAAGAGUCGCGAACGCAAUUUUGAAGCUAUCUGCGUACGGGGCAAGCACAAAUCGUUUUCUCGUCGCGUCUCCGUUGCGAUCGCAAUCCUCUGAGGUCCCAUUGAGUUUCCAGCCCGUGACUGAACAUUGUUGCAUUUAUAAAUCUAAUAAUACUUAUAAAUUUGUUUAUAAAAUGAGAACUCUAACGAGUUAUUGCUUUAUAAUACUCUAUUUACAAUUCCAUUGACCUCGACAAUGUCACUGGACCACAGAGGAUUAGAAACUUGGUUCGGUGUAGGACUAAUCAUUUAUUUUCUCAUCGGGUAAUCCUAUGGAUGAUAUUUCAAAUCAUUUGUACGGAAUAUUAACUUUCUGGGACGUUAACCAGCAACAGCAAUCUAAAGAUAUAGAAACUUUUUUGAUAUAUAUACAUACAUAUUAUAAAUACAUUGACCAUCGUGUCACUCGUACAUCUUUUACACUCUUAAUGUGUCUAAAAUCAUUCGAACGCUACAACUACUGGACACUCAGAAUGAUCCUCCUUUAUCUUCUCACAGAAAUUAUGAAAAUACAUUUAAUAACGUUUUGAUUAUUUACAUUUUAAUUUAUAUAUUAUCAAAUCAAUUUAUUUAGUAAUUUCUAAGAACUUCUGAAUUUUUUCAGUAACUUUAAAAGAAGAAAUUAGAAACGGGUCAUUCUGACUCAUUUGGUGGUUCCAGUGUCAAAAACGUUUGAACCUGUAUCCGAGGGAAAGAUGUCCGUGCAAAAUUCGAUGCCAAUGUAAUUAAAUAGUGCGUUGCAUAAUAAUGUCCACCGGAUUACCCAAUACGCUUCGACGGUUGUCCUUAUCGUAUACGGUUUAUCGGUUACUUUGGAACACGUGCUCGCACGUUGUACGCAUUCCCAGCUUCUCAGAAACACCCAAGAAGUCCUGAGUGGAAUUCUGUUUCAUACGGCGCGGCCGCGGGGACUCGGUUGACUAUACCGGUCGCCUCACAAGUGGAACACUUUUGGGUUCGAGCGGAACAAGCGGUGAACUUAACUGAAGCGACCGGAUUCGUUGGAACCGAGAGAAUAAAUUCGCUUACGUAAAAAGAGACCUAAAACGCAUGGAUAAAAGCUGGAAACGAAAAGUUGAAACUACGGAAGAGCCUCGAAUUUGUGCUCAGCCUGUACAACGACGGAAGCCUGAAGACAGACGAAUGGAAAAGGAAAACAAGUGGGAAAAAGAUUCGACCAAUAGUGAGCCAAGCUGUUAAACGAGCAACGAUGCACCAGUGAUCAAAUCGCAUCCUUCACAGGACCAACCAAUCCAUGUGUUCCACACGACUACAGAUACCUCUCUACCAACAUGACGACGAGCAUCACGUGACUUUAGCCUUGUUCUUCCGGAACGGCGGGAACUGAGGGAACUUCCGUCGCCGCCGCUUCAGCUCGUCGUUGUCCGUGGUCGAGUUCGAGUCGGUGGACAGCGUCUCUUCGUCCACGGACACCGUCGGCAGCUCCUUCGUUGACUUCUUCAGGCUGCCCGACGACGUUGUGGUCAUCGCAGUCGUUGUGCUUGCCGCGGUGACCGCCGGCUGACCAGCAGACGCCUUCUGCUGCUGCGCUGGCCUCUCCGGGACCGGUGAGUCCAAUGAGUUCUCCGAGUAAGAUGUCUUCGACAGGAAUGCUGAGGACUUCGCUGGCUCCUCCGGACCCUCGCCCACAGUGAAGUGCACCACGUUGCUCUCCGGCGGCGUGUCCUUCCCUGUCUCGCUGCUGGACGAGUCUGGAGGCGCGGACGACUCCUUCCAUGUUACACUGUCCAGCGUACCUGCGGGUCAGGAGAAAAGUCAUCGUUUGGGAGGACACUGGUCGUUGCGGGCUGCAGUUGUAGGCAACUCUGCGACGAGGGUAUUCCAAUGGUUUACUUGGUACAUGUACAGGUGUCCUAUGAUGGUACGACAAAGGGUGGCUCUAUGUGGAAAGUUGGGAUACCCUCUAAUGAUGAAGAUUUGUUGAAUUGAUUAGAAUUUGUAUGUAUAUAGUAAAUUUAGAGUUUGAGCUUACUGAACUUGAUUGUCUUAAGAUUCAUCAUUUGGUCGAGAGAAGCCUACAAUGUUACAUAUUUGAUAUGUUCCUGAUGAUUUCUUAAAAUGUACGAUUGUCAAUAUGAAGGAACUUGUAUGGAGUUAGUUUCCAGUGUUCGGGCUUGAUCUUUUUAUGCUGAUCUACCGAUGCCUGUUCGACAUUGCGCUGGAUCGGUGCCAAAAGUUUAUGUUACGCUUUGAACAAUUUUUUUCAACGGUUACAGUCACUCGGGUCUUGGAAACCGCUUUGAAUUUUUAAGUAACGUUCGAAAUGGAGAUUUGCAUAGAAACAAUAGACCUUUCGCACCUAUCGCAUACUAUAAAUAUUUACAAUAUAUUCGUCUUUGUUAGUUCACGAAAUCGUAAUGCUCAUGCUUCCUCCUCGGUGACGAAUCCGUGCAAGGUUGAGUCCCACAAAAAGCCACAUAGCCGGCGGAUGUAGAAACGAGAUACGGUGAACUAUAUCUCCUCUUAAUUAGCUUCUGAUUGAUGCCUCUCUGCUGUUUAUUUGAGAUUGUCGAAAGAAUCAUUUGCAAUAAUUUCAGUGCAUUUAUAGAAACAUACGUUAGGAAAUGAAUGAAACGACCAGUGAUUCACUCAAGCUUCCUGUUAAGUAUUCUACAGAUUUGAUUAUAAUAUUUGAUGAUUUAAGUGAAAUAUUCCAUAAGACUCUGUACGCAAGGUAAUGAAAUUUACAUACUGUUUCAGACCUGUUCCACGGGUUACGUUUCUAUAAAUAAACGUCUACAAAUGUAUACACAUUUUGUUACUGUAAUGGCUGCGUUUAGUCGCUGCGGAUAUCAAGGGAGAUAUGUGCAUUCGUAAAUACAUGGAAACAUCUUGGUAAGAAUUAAGAUAUGCGGAAGGCUGUCUGAUAUCGGUCAUUAGAAUUCUGCAUGCUCAUUCGGAGAACAAUCGUUGAUAGAGCUACGGUGAUCGGGGAGUGAACAUGCAGCGCACAUUUCAUACUUUACCAGAAAAUGCAGCCGGGCCACGUGUGUUUCGUGUGGAUAUCGCAGAUUUCUUAACAACUAUACAACCUUCGACCCUUUCGUCAUUUUCGUAUUUCGAAUACUUCAAACGUCCCGUCUUUGUCAGAGGAAAAUAUUAUUUAAACGAGAAGCUGACGCUUUGUUGUUGAGAAAAGCGAACGUAAAUUAAGUCGACGGAACAUCUUAAGCUCAAAAAUAUUUAAUAAUCGUUACCACUUGCAACCAUCGCGACGCUUAUUGCGCAGAGUAUGCAGUCUUAAUCAUCAAUCUUAAUCAAUGCAGUUGAAACAAACGAUAACAUUGGAAAACAAUUUAAUUGACACUGGAGAACAAGGAAACUAAUCAAAGUUAGGAGAUAAUGAAAAAAUAUUGAGGAACAUUUUUCAAGCAUUAUAAUAUUAUAUUUAAAAAACAAAGAUUUGUAAUUAUUGAAUAAUAUUGAAAAUUUUAAAUCGAUGGCAUUGUUCUAGAAAUUCAAGACCAGUGGCAGAAAAAAAGAAUUGCGACAACAGCGGCGUAAUUCAUUGACAAUUCCAGCGGGGGAAUUAAAAUUACAUACUCGAACGCGUAAUCAAUCAUAAGAUCUAGCGGAGAGAAACACACGGCUUAGGUCAUACGAACAAGACUUAAUGGUUUCUUGGUUUCCUGCAUAUUGCUUGAUUUAUUCACUGCGAACUAUAUAUAUUGUACAGAAUCUGGGUGGGUGGGGGGUUGGAGAUAAAAUAUCAUAAUAUGUCUGAGAGUUGUUUACAGAUUCCGGUGUUCACACGUUCUGGGUACAAACAUUGAAGGGAGAAGUUCGUUUCCAACAACGGAAUUAUAAAACACAGCGAAACAAUAAUUUCAACAGAGAUUAACAAAGUAGAGAAUAAACGUAACAAUGCUGCCGACUCGAAUGCAGGUGACCCCAUUUUUUCUUUUCCAGAAUAUGACCGAGGUUUAUAGCAUCUAAUUAAGUACUUAAGAUACGGUUUAAUUAACGCUGUCUCUUCGUCGGUUCGAGCGAACAUUCAAUUAGCGACACAACGAUUCAGGCGUCGCACCCGAACCGCCGACCAAUAACGCUCCGCUCGUUCCCGUUGGCAACGCUCGGGCCUAGGGGGAAGAGGCUGUCGGCGAUUGCCACACGCGAUCCGCGCGGGAUUGAACAACGCUCGGGAAUUGUUGCAGCCGAGUAAAAACCACGGUCGAAUACAGUCGAAUCUAAUUUUAAUUGAUGCUAAUAUUAAACGUGACGCGCCGGUUAACGGUGUAUCCCCGGAGAAAUAGAUUUCGUUUCUUGGCAUGAUCCGUCACAACGGAUUCCCCGGUUAAGAGAAUCCCAGAAGCUCAGAGAGAGAGUACAGGUCGCUUAAUCGUUCGAGCGUUACAAUUAAUUUUAAACGAAAGAGAUUAUUGCAUCAACGUAUCACAGACGAGAAUUAUCGAAGAACUUCAAUACACGUCGUUCUCGACGAUUCGAAUCACCAUUUCUUCUAAAACUGUGUUGCUACUAGAAAUUUUCAGACUGUACUGUUCCUUUCAAAUUCUACGGUCGCAGACGCUGUUCGAAAUCUGCUCUAAUUUAAGGACGUUACUCCCACUCUCCGACGAUCCUCCCUCCCUGCUUUGUCAGCGUUAUUUAACCACGUGUUGCACAUUCUCAUGCACUUUUUGCAUUCUACCCGAUUUUGUUUCUUGCAAUGUACCUCAACGUAUAUCGUAAUUUAUGUAAAUUUACCGUUGACGGUUCGAUUAGGAGUUUCCUCGAAUUUUGUGCGAAAUUUACGACGCAAUUGGAUAUCGAUUGAGAAACACUGCUCAUAGCGAGUGCACCAGUGUGCACACGAUCACAUGGUCGAAUUGAUAAUAGAUCAAAGGACGGUAUAUCGGACUCGGUAACGAAAAGGUUUCCGAGCCGACGCGUCCGCGUUGAUACGCGUACGCUUUCGUUUAAAAUUACUCCUAGGGUCCGUUCGAUUUCUGUCUGUACGUCCGCUCGGUCUGCACGAGAAAUGGCACCUCCAGAAUGACACGCGGCCACCAUCGUCCAAUUAAGAUCGGAUUCCGAUGCUCGGCUCGCUUUAAUUCGAACUAUUAAUAAAGAACGCAUUGUGCAACAGCUUUUCCGCUGGUCUGGCAAAACGGAACGUGCGUCUUUUCGAGAACGGGAGGAACGGUUGGCUCGGCCUUUCGGUGUCGAUGAAAAAUCUCUCGAAAGUUCUAUUAAAGGAACUGAACAUGAAUAGGUUAAUAUUUCAUUGAGAAACGAGAAAAGUUCUCGUGGCACGCUCUCCCGUCUUCGUUGUUGCUGCCUACGAGCCGAGGAAGCAAACUAUAAAUGAUCCUCGUGAUUCAGGGACAAGAAUUUUCAGAUUCGCGAGAAUUGAAGUCAUAAGAGAGAUAUAGAUCGAUGUUUAAUAUAGAUUGGUAAUCGAAGAAACUUCAGAGUCGUUGCAACUGUCCAUGAGAUUAGAGAUAUUGUUUAAAUUGUAGAUUUUAUCGAAAAAUAUGUAUAGAGAAUCUCUUGGUGAUUGAAUAUAUUGAAUUGAAUAAAUUUUUUUGAAAUAUUGUCGAGACCCAUUGUCUGCUUGGAUCGGCUCAAAAUCUUCAGUCGAUUUGCGGUUGAUUUAAUAGUGAAUUUUUCGAUAAAACAGAUAUCUAUGGAAAAUUUCUAGUUAGCAUACAAUUCCUACUACGAUGACAAUUUUUUGUAAAAAUAUCACAUUAUAAGAACCACUUGAUCUCCAUGUAUCAAUGCCUUCUCACAUUGUUAUUAACAAACCUUUCACCCUAACCGUUCACUUUUUGAACAUUUAUAAAAAUGUGAAUUACAAAAAUAUGUCAUGUUUCCCUAUGAACUGUCACCUGCCCAACUCCUUAAUGUUUAUGUGAGUACAUGGUUGCAAAAAAACAACACAAUUUAUCAGUGUAAUAAUGUUGCUACUUGUUAAAUUGUAUGUGAUAUACAAACUGGCGCAUUAACAAUAAAUUAAAAGAUUUGUCAUUGUUUUCAGAAAGUGGAUAAAAUUCUGUGGUAAAACCUGACAAAUCUCGAGAUUAGGAAAGGGGAACAUUCCAGAGUUUUAAUCCUCCCUUUUCCUGCACACAUCCUGAUAAAUUCGAUAAAAAGGCUGUCAAUUGUUGUAAUGCUAAUUGGGUAGUGUCAUGUGCUAGAGAAUUCACUUUUAUUUCCACAUGAGUUUCAUUUUGUAAAUAUUUCUCUAAAAGCCAUAUAUAGUUCUGAUCGCAAAUAUAAAUUUAGGUCACACAUUACUUUGACAGUUACAUUUAACAAACGGCAUAAAUUUCGCAACAUGUUCCGUAUAGAAAUUGAUAUGUGCCGAUUUUCAAGGUCUUCAAUCUUAAAUUGUUAAAAGUUACUCCAAAUUACUAAACAAAUUGUCUUCUUCCCCUAGAAUGAAAUGGUGGCAACUGUUAAUCAAAUAAUUCAAAAAACAGCGUAACAAAAAUAAAUACAUACUCUUAUUUAAAAUCUUUAUUAAAUUAG